Molecule: long non-coding RNA, 1074 nt
Organism: Olea europaea var. sylvestris
Lineage: Eukaryota; Viridiplantae; Streptophyta; Magnoliopsida; Lamiales; Oleaceae
Exons: 2
Source: RefSeq, a predicted model, not a curated record
UACAAAAGCCAUGGAAGCCUUCAACCACCGAACCCUGAUUGCUUCACCAUGAUUGUCCAGGUUGAGCAGCAUUAUUCGACUUGAAUUACAAUCCCGCUACACAUACACGCCGCUUUAACUGUUGGGUUACACGAUGACGUGGCAAAGAAAACUUAUUAAUGGGUAACAUGUCUUGAACCGGCGCAAAUUGAAGAAACCCGCUUACCCUCGCUUUCUUUCACUUUCUCAGUUGCCCCAAAGGCAGAAAACCCUCUCUAACAAACGAACUGAUACAAGGAGAUCUGCGGGUGCGCUCCACCAUAUUGAGAAGACGGUGAUAAAUAUAGUGGUCAUCUCCAUGGUUUUGUUUUCCACCCGAAGUUAAGCGCACGGUUGUGAGGAAAAAAAUAUUUAGCCGCAAGAUUGGAGCAAAGUCGCCCGUUGCUUAGGCCUUCUUCUCCGGUGGAAUCUUGAGCAAUAUUAUUAUGCCGAGUAAGAACUCUGGUCUUUGUCAUAACUGUAAAGAGAAGGUCCACUUGUUUGCGGAUUGCCCGGACAAAAGGCGAUGCCCCUUGGGUAAAAGUGGAUUUGUGAAGUGCUUCGAGGUCGAGAGGGAGACGAAGAAUAAGGGAAGACUGUUCAAUUGCUGCAAUGCUAACUGUAAAUAUUGGGCAUGGGUCGAUGAGGGAGAAUCAAGCUAUGGAUCAAGUGAUGUUACCAUUAACUCGAAUAAUCAUGCAGCAAUCGACCAAGUUUAGGAGUUCUCUUGCAUGUUCUAGUCUCUUUGUCAUGUGGUGUCCGAGGAACGAGACAUUGAGAUUUCUUUGAACGUGACUAUAAGGAAGGCCAACGAAAGUGCGGGAGUUGAUGUGAAAGGGAAGGGGCCAGCAUGAGUAAUGGUUAUAUUUUCUUAUGAAAAGGAAGGGGCCAACAAAAUGUGGUGUUAUUUUUAGUUCAUGUGUAAUAUGUGCCGUUGGUGAGCCGAACAAGUCAUUGUAAUAUAUUUGCUUUCGAUGUUUGAAUCGCUAUGUUAACGAUGUCGGUGUUAAUAGUAGCGGACUAGAAUUUGUCUUGUUUGUUAUAUUAUUUGUGUUC